AUGUGGAUGCACAGAGGGCACAAUAAUCCUCUGCCCUGUCACACCCACUGGUCUGACUGGAGUUCACCAGUAAAAACCAUCCCAUGGCAGCAAGAAGGGCUGAGGGGCACAUGGAGCUGGGGAAAACACCCACAAUCAGGGAAAUCCAGUGGAGGAAUUCUGCCAGCAGUGAAACUCUCCAUUUGGAAUUCUGUGGAAUUCCCGCAGCUCCAGCUCAGCCUGCACAAGCUCCCAGCUGGAUCCCCGUUGCCAAAGGCCAGGACACGUUCUGAGGUGCUCUGCUGGAAAAAGCUGUUGGAGCACAGAGCUGCCCCUUUUUCCUGGGCAGCAGGUGCACAAACCUCCAUCCAAAACACGAUUUGCAUGGAAUUGGCAUCACCUGUGGAGGCAGAGCCAUCGUUUUGGGGCGGGAACAAAGGAAAUGGGAACGUUCCUCCCUGAUCAAAUGUCCACUUUUAUAAUCCCUGUCUGCUAAUCCACCACAUCCAGGCCAGCAAUCAGUGCAGACUCUGUUUUUCAUCGUGGUGCUCAAUGCAGAAAAAAAAGAAUAAAAAUGAAGUGAGACAGUAUUAUAUUUCA
RNAcentral lists this long non-coding RNA (579 nucleotides) under Cyanistes caeruleus (blue tit). RNAcentral's name for it is "lncRNA (ENSCCEG00000015320.1)". The record is from RNAcentral. Lineage: Eukaryota; Metazoa; Chordata; Aves; Passeriformes; Paridae.